RNAcentral lists this transfer RNA (78 nucleotides) under Methanobacteriota archaeon. RNAcentral describes it as "Euryarchaeota archaeon (seawater metagenome) tRNA-Ala". It matches the Rfam family "tRNA". Rfam says of the family: Transfer RNA (tRNA) molecules are approximately 80 nucleotides in length. Their secondary structure includes four short double-helical elements and three loops (D, anti-codon, and T loops). The record is from RNAcentral. Lineage: Archaea; Methanobacteriati; Methanobacteriota.
GGGCGCUUAGCUCAGUUGGAAGAGCGUCUGGUUUGCAACCAAAAGGGCCCGGGGGGUUCAAAUCCCCAGUGUCCACCA